UCGUGGUUGUUGCCUUUGUUGCUCUGGCAAAUCUGUUGCCAUGGUGGUUUCAGAAGAUCUUUUCCCACAAGAACUUGCCUCGUGUGGUCCUAUCAGCCAUUACUGAUUUAUUUUUAUUUUUCCAAACAAAAAUGUCUUGCAACGACGUAGAUGAAUACACAAUGUACCUUCAGUUGUACAAAUGGUACAAACAGGAUUGUGUUGAGAUGGGAAAGGUUCCCAAAGAAUUAAUAUCGUUUCUCGGACAGUUAAAAGCAAAAGCUCGUGGCCCUGGUGACGAUAGUCAGUUGAAGGGAAACUUAACUGAAUCGCAAGAAAGUAAACCAUCUUUGGUCUCAUCUUGGAACCUCCUUGUCCUUCACCGAUGACAACCAAAUUUGAUAAUGUUGCUGCACAUUUUACAACCAGCUCAUCCUUUGGUCAUUCAGCAUUGAAUCCAAAAUCUGCUAACAGAGCCACAAAUUGUCCAGCCUUAGAUGGCAUCAAACGAAAGCUGAGAACCAUUGAAGGGAAAAGUGUUCCUACAGUUAAGAAAAGAUGCAUAAACACAUCCACAUUUACAUUACAUGUAUUUGUGUUCCCACACUUCGGCUGGUUAGGAAGUACAGCCACUACAGGAGAAAAGGCAGACUUUUGUGACAUGUUUUACAGAGCUGGGCUCUGGAGAUAAGGGAGCUGGAAACAUCAUUCCUGGCGGUGCCACACUGCUUUUUGAUGUCGAGUUGAUGGGCAUCAACCAGGCCCCACCUCCCCAGAAUGUUUUCAAACAGAUUGACAGUGAUUCCAACAACCAGUUGUCGAAAGAAGAGGUGGCAGAUUACAUAAAAAAGCACAUUUUCCCAACUGAGAAAGCUGAAGAGGUCCCUGCUGAAGAAGGAGCACCGCAGCAGCAAGAUCCUCUCAAGAUUACUGAAGAGAUCUUCCAGCACGAAGAUCACGACCGAGAUGGCUACAUCUCGUUCGAAGAAUUCUACGGACCGCACGAUGAACUCCAAGUCUUCCAUUCUCGCGAUCCAGUUUAAAUCUCAGGUGCGGAGAAUCGAGAUUUUUAAUAUCGAAUUUUCCUAAUAAAUUAGAAUAAUUUUGUUUUCUUUUCAAAUAUAGAAUUAGCUCUCUCAACCGGCCAUAACAAAAUGCAAUUCCAUAUUGUUCUCUUUGUUGUUAUGUCUAAACCUCACUACCUGUUUCUGUACUCGUGUUAUUCGCCCACAUGAAUUAAAUGUGUUGUUCAACCUCGAGUUGAAAAACUCAAGAAACUAUCAAGAAAAUCGAUUAAUUAUCUUGUAAACUAUAAAACAUUUUUACAAAUAUUCCAUGUAAAUCUUUGUUUUAUCCUAAAUUACUCUUCUUUACUUAAGAUUCGGUUAAUCAGUGCUAUAUACUCGUUUGCCAGUUGUUUAUUAUGUUUUUAUUUGUCGGAUUGAAUUCAGAAAUAUAGGCGUUGAUCAUU
RNAcentral lists this long non-coding RNA (1450 nucleotides) under Daphnia pulicaria. Its description in RNAcentral is "uncharacterized LOC124341478, transcript variant X1". The record is from RNAcentral. Lineage: Eukaryota; Metazoa; Arthropoda; Branchiopoda; Diplostraca; Daphniidae.